AGUGUAAUUUUGUGGGGCUAAUAUUUUUAAUGUCUCUCCCAAUAUUUUUUUAAGCCAAACAAUAAAUCCUGUUUGGAUCAAUUGAAAAAAAUUAAAUAGCUGAGGAAAUUCUUAAGAGCCAGACUAAGAGAAUACUGCAAUAGGUCAAUGUUGAAAUUACCCUUUAAUUGUUAAAACCAUUUACAGGAAACAAAGUAUUCUGAUACUUUCUUUUUUUUGCUCAUAAGAUACAGGAAAUGUAAAGCCAGGUGAUUAGCAUUUCACCUCCCACUCAGAGCUGCUUGUGGUCAUUUGAGAGCAGCGGACAAUGAGAGAGGAUCACAGAUCUCUGAGCGGAUGGGUGGUCUUCAUCACAGGUGUAGCUCUUGCUUCAUCAGCUCAUCAUGUCAUAACUCCACCAUCACUCACCAUCCUGCUUGGACAAAUGGCAUACUUUAACUGCACUGUAGUGGAAAAAGGCAAUUGUGAAGAAGUCAGCUUGUAUUGGCGUCAUAAGCGCCUGUUCCAGAAUGGCUCAGAAGGAGAUUCGAAAGAUAUUAAAAAUGGAGGGAGAUAUUCCAUUAUUUAUGGAGUUUUAUUCAGCUCUUUGCAAAUUAAAAAUGUGUUCUUCUCUGAUGAGGGGUUGUAUUUCUGCUCAAACUUCUGCUUUGGGAAAAGGACCCGAAUUAUUGAACAGAAGUCACAGCUCAUGCUUGAAGCCCAACCCCAAGUAAGCAUCACUUCUUCCAUAUCACCUGAUGCACCUGAUCUCCUGAUCCUGACCUGCAGUGCUCUGAGUUUCUACCCUUCCAAUGUGUCCUUCACCUGGAAUCUCACUUUUGUUGAAGUGCCCCACAUCAUCCAGCAAGGGUCACCCAAUCUCCUUCAGAAUGGCACCUAUAGCAGCAGCUCCACUCUAAAGAUCAGAACCUCCCAGUGGAGCUCAGAAGUGGUGAUUGAAUGUGUGGUGAAUCACAGUUCUCUGACUCAGUCACAGUUCAAAUACAUUAGACAUUCAGGUCCAUCUUCAGGUGUGGAUCUCUGUCAGCUGAAAAUGGUCCUGCUGUCUUUGGGUUUGGUGUUGAUGAUGUUGGCUGUCAUGGGGGUACAUGUGAAGUCCUGCAAAGGAAACAGUUGAGUAUCCAGUCCAAAUCUGGAUCUUAUACCGGAAGAGGAAAGUGACAUACCUCCAGUAGUCUGAAGGUGAAAGGCAUUUUGAGGAAAGACUGAAGAAAAUCUGAGGACUGGAGUAAAAUGCAUUAGGAUACAAAUAAUUAUAAUUUUGUGCAUUUUUUCAACCUUUAAACUGUGUGCUUUUACAGAACACUUCACUUUGUGCUUGCAAAAUGCUUAUUGUUAGUGCUAUGCAAGGAUUCUACAUACAGUAAAUAUUAUUUAUUCAUAUACCAUA
This is an RNA transcript of Erpetoichthys calabaricus (reedfish), 1390 nucleotides long. It is a transcript of the gene named tapasin-related protein-like, with no coding region annotated. The record is from RefSeq and is a predicted model, not a curated record. Lineage: Eukaryota; Metazoa; Chordata; Cladistia; Polypteriformes; Polypteridae. The transcript is spliced from 5 exons.